This 3836-nucleotide long non-coding RNA is filed under the name Ornithorhynchus anatinus (platypus). RNAcentral's name for it is "lncRNA (ENSOANG00000040827.1)". Lineage: Eukaryota; Metazoa; Chordata; Mammalia; Monotremata; Ornithorhynchidae. The record is from RNAcentral.
AUGAAUGAGUGGAUGAAUGAGCGAAUGACGAGGAGGGGGGGUGGCCCGGGGGCGGUGGGAGGGGGGCGUUUCCGGUCGAGGGGGGGGGGCGGAGAGGGGAGGGAGGGCGGGAGCGGCCAAUGGGAGCGGGGGGCGGGACGGCCCGCCACGCCCACCCCCGGGCACCGGCAGGACCGGCGGCAGGAGCGGCGGCAGGAGCGGCGGGAGCGGGCCCGGGCCCACCAUGCCCAAGAGGAAGUCUCCGGACGGUGCCGAGGGCAAAGAUGCGCCAGAAGUGACUCGACGAGAGCCUACCCGGCGGUCGGCCCGAUUAUCAGCCGUGUGAAAAAUGUCUUCGCAGAAACCCGCCGAGCCCAAGCCCGACCCCAAACCGAGGAAAACCGGCGCGAAGAAGGAAGCCGGGACGAAGCGGAACGGAGGCGUCAAGGGGAAGAAGCAGAAGAAGGCCGAAGAGCAGGAAACUGGAAAAGAAGGCACCGAAGACUGACUCCGGCGGGAGCCCGAGGCAAAGAGAUCGAGGCAAAGAAAUGGACGCGGAAAUCUCGGGUGGAUUUUGUGUACCUCCCGGAUGACUUUUCAAAGCUAUUUUUCUCGAGUGUUUUGUAAAUGCUGAUUUUUUUAGGACCGACAGUAGCGGAUGUAGAAAUGUCAAGGAGUGAACGUCUCCCCUCUCGCGAUCGUGCUCUUGGAAAAGCCCAAUUCCCCACAUCCUGUCGGUGUGUGUGACUAGCGAUGGGAUAUCAGAAGGGAUGGGCAAAACCGGCCCCAAAUCCCACCGUUCGCAUUUAAUAGCGUUUUUACCGGGCGGAUUGGAGUUUUUCCAGAGCGGUGAUAAUCGGUGGUGCUUUUGUACUUAGAUUUUCUGUGGUCUUAAUGAGACGUGGACAGUUGUGGCCGCCCGCUGAUUAUUUUAGGUUCUCCUCGUGGUUUAAAAUAAAGGUUUUCUUGCCCGCAAAACUCCAAGACUCAGCACCGUCUCUGAAUUUUGGGGAGUCUGUUGCCGUUUUCUUCGGAGCAGGCCGCCACUCUCAGUCUUCUGAGCCCGGAUAUUCCCGGUAAUGAGCCAAUUGUUCGCGCUUCAAAAUGGCAACCUGUGAGGCAAAAUAUCCUCCGGGAAAGUGGCCCGAGAACAACACGGGAAUCGAUUGGAAUGCAGAAAAAUCAAUGAAAAAUCCAAUUAAUAAAGUCUUCCCAAAUCCCGAUAAUAAUAGUUAUGGUACUCAUCAAGCGCUUACUAUGUGCCAAGCACUGGUCUAAGCGCUGGGGUAGAUACGAGAUAAUCAGGCUGGACCCAACCCCUUUCCCUCAUGGGGCUCACGCUCUUCGGCGUGGCCUAUUGGCGAGAGCGGGGGCUUGGGAGUCAGAGGUCGUGGGUUCUGAUCCCGGCCCUGCCGCUUGUCAGCUGGGUGACUUUGGGCGAGUCACUUCACUUCUCUGUGCCUCAGUUGCCCUCUCUGUAUAAUGGCGAUGAAGACUGUGAGCCCCAUGCGGGACAACCCGAUUACCCUAUAUCUACCCCAGUGCUUAGAGAAGCAGCGUGGCUCAGUGGAAAGAGCACGGGCUUUGGAGUCAGAGGUCAUGGGUUCGAAUCCCGGCUCGGCCACUUGUCAGCCGUGUGUCUUCGGGCGAGUCGCUUCACUUCUCGGUGCCUCAGUGACCUCAUCUGUAAAAUGGGGAUGAAGACCGUGAGCCCCACGUGGGACAACCCGAUUCCCCUGUGUCUACCCCAGCGCUUAGAACAGUGCUCGGCACGUAGUGAGCGCUUAACAAAUACCGACAUUAUUAUUAUUAUUAUUAUUAUUAUUAGAACAGUGCUUGACAUAUGGUAAACACAUGCCGUUAUUUUUUUUUCAUCCCCAUUUUACAGAUGAGGGAACCGAGGCCCAGAGAGGUGAGGUGACUCGCCCAAGGUCACACAACAGGCAAGGGGCAAAGCCAGAAGUAGAACCCGGGUCCUUCCGCCUCCCAGGCCCGUGCUCCGCCCACCAGGCCGUGAGGUAACCGAGGCACGGAGAUGUGAACCGACCUGCCCAGGGUCACGCAGCAGACAAGUGGCAGAGCCGGGAUUAGAACCCAGAUCUUUCCGACUCCCAGGCCCGGGGCUUCUACCCACGAGGCCGCCCUGAGGACCGUGGCCAGAGGCCAAACCGGGGUGCGGGGGAGUGGAAUACGUCGAACUCCGGAAGAGAGAAGAAAGGAACAGCGCGCCCCGGUCGUGGUCUCCUGCGAAGAGGGCCGAGUUUUCUCUGAGAAGCGCUGUCGGUUCCGGACGGAACUGGCUUAGAACGGGACGUUUGGCAUUAGCCACGGGCCAGUGGAAGUCACGGGGGCGGGCGGGGCGGACCCCGACCGGCUAAAGGAAGGCUUUCGAAGGCUCUAAUCCUUUCUCCCAGAUUCGACGUCGCCGAGAAAAGUUACACCGGGGGGCCGUCGGGUUAGCCGACGGGUCGGCUACCGCCGGGCUGGCCUCGGCCUGCCCCUCUAGCCCGGAGAAUUGCAAUUCCUCCUUGUGGGCAGGGAAUGGGUCUGCUUACUGUUUUCCUGUCCUCUCCCGAGCGCUCAGUGUAGUGCUCCGCACCGGUAAGCGCUCAAGUGAAUACCAUCGAAUGAAUGAAUCGAUGAACGAAAGAACGCAGGCGGUGAUUCUCCUCUCGGACUCUCAACCUCCGGCCGCUUCUCUGCUGCGUGAGCUUGGGCAAGUCGCUCGGCUUCUCUGUGCCUCAGUUACCUCAUCUGGAAAAAGGGGAUCGAGGUGACGAUCCCCGGGAGGGACGGACCGUGUCCGACCCCAUUCGCUUGUGUCCACCCCGGUGCUCAAUACGGUGCCUGGCACGUAGUAAGCGCUUAACAAAUACCAUCAUCAUCGUUAUUAUUAUUAUUGUUAGGGACGGAUCAACCGCAUCUCCAACUUUCCCUCUACUUCCCUAAAUUUCCCUCUAACGGUACAGCACGGACCGCUCGGUCAUGACUCUGCCCCGGAUCCCCUCUCCAAACCGGCUCCACCCCUCGUCUGCUGUGUGACCUCAGGCAAGGCACUUCACUUCUCUGUACCUCAUUUAUCUCAUCUGUAAAAUGGGGAUUAAGAUGACGAGCCUCGUGCGGAAAAGGGACUGCGUUCAGCCUGACUGGCUGCUAUCGACCCCAGCGCUUAGUCCAGUGCUUGGUACACAGUAAGCGCUUAACAGAUACCUUAAAAAUAAACAAAAAACAAAAAAUCUCUAUCGAUUAUUAUCAUUAUAGUAAUUGUUAAGCCCUUACAAUUGUCAAGCCCUGGGGUAGAUACAAGUUAAUCAGGUCAGACACGGUCCCUGUUCCACACGGUGCUCAGAGUUUAAAUAGGGAGGAGGGAGGAGAGGAGCAGCGUGGCUCAGUGGAAAGAGCCCGGGCUUGGGAGCCAGAGGUCAUGGGUUCGACUCCCCGAUCUGCCACUCGGCAGCUGUGUGACUGUGGGCGAGUCGCUUCACUUCUCUGGGCCUCAGUUCCCUCAUCUGGAAAAUGGGGAUGAAGACUGUGAGCCUCACGUGGGACAACCUGAUUACCCUGUAUCCACCCCCACGCUUAGAACAGUGCUCUGCACGUAGUAAGUGCUCAACAAAUACCAACAUUUUUAUUAUUAUUAUUAUCAUUAUUAUUAGGCAUCCAAUCUUCAUUUUACAGAAGAGAAAACUGAGGCACAGGGAAGGUAAUAAUAAUAAUAAUAAUAAUAAUAAUAAUAAUGUUGGUAUUUGUUAAGCACUCACUAUGUGCCGAGCACUGUUCUAAGCGCUGGGGUAGACACAGGGGAAUCGGGUUGUCUCACGUGGGGCUCACAGUCUUCAUCCCCAUUUUACAGAUGA